Non-coding RNA from Hordeum vulgare subsp. vulgare (domesticated barley), 61 nucleotides. The record is from Rfam. Lineage: Eukaryota; Viridiplantae; Streptophyta; Magnoliopsida; Poales; Poaceae.
GCGGAUGUAGCCAAGUGGAUCAAGGCAGUGGAUUGUGAAUCCACCAUGCGCGGGUUCAAUU